RNAcentral lists this ribosomal RNA (393 nucleotides) under uncultured Lachnospiraceae bacterium. RNAcentral describes it as "bacterial SSU rRNA". It matches the Rfam family "Bacterial small subunit ribosomal RNA", at positions 355 to 764 of the family's 1533-position model. Lineage: Bacteria; Bacillati; Bacillota; Clostridia; Lachnospirales; Lachnospiraceae. The record is from RNAcentral.
UGGGGAAUAUUGCACAAUGGGCGAAAGCCUGAUGCAGCGACGCCGCGUGAGCGAAGAAGUAUUUCGGUAUGUAAAGCUCUAGCAGCAGGGAAGAAGAAUGACGGUACCUGACUAAGAAGCCCCGGCUAACUACGUGCCAGCAGCCGCGGUAAUACGUAGGGGGCAAGCGUUAUCCGGAUUUACUGGGUGUAAAGGGAGCGCAGGCGGUACGGCAAGUCUGAUGUGAAAGCCCGGGGCUCAACCCCGGGACUGCAUUGGAAACUGUCGGACUAGAGUGUCGGAGGGGUAAGUGGAAUUCCUAGUGUAGCGGUGAAAUGCGUAGAUAUUAGGAGGAACACCAGUGGCGAAGGCGGCUUACUGGACGAUCACUGACGCUGAGGCUCGAAAGCGUGG